RNAcentral lists this long non-coding RNA (30936 nucleotides) under Populus trichocarpa (black cottonwood). Its description in RNAcentral is "long non-coding RNA (PTRI_LNC000322)". Lineage: Eukaryota; Viridiplantae; Streptophyta; Magnoliopsida; Malpighiales; Salicaceae. The record is from RNAcentral.
CCGGCAAGGUUGCUGUUGUCUGUGGUUAUGGUGAUGUUGGCAAGGGCUGUGCUGCUGCCAUGAAGCAAGCUGGAGCUCGUGUGAUUGUGACCGAGAUUGAUCCCAUUUGCGCGCUUCAGGCUCUCAUGGAGGGUCUACAGGUCCUGACUCUUGAAGAUGUUAUCUCCGAGGCUGAUAUCUUUGUCACCACCACUGGUAACAAGGACAUUAUCAUGGUUGAUCACAUGAGGAAGAUGAAGAACAAUGCCAUUGUCUGCAACAUCGGUCACUUCGAUAAUGAAAUCGACAUGCUUGGACUUGAGACCUUCCCUGGCGUGAAGCGCAUCACCAUCAAGCCCCAAACUGACAGGUGGGUCUUCCCUGACACCAACUCCGGCAUCAUUGUCCUGGCUGAGGGACGUCUCAUGAACCUGGGAUGUGCCACCGGUCACCCCAGCUUUGUGAUGUCCUGCUCAUUCACCAACCAGGUGAUCGCCCAGCUUGAGCUGUGGAACGAGAGGAAAACCGGCAAGUACGAGAGGAAGGUCUAUGUCUUGCCCAAGCACCUUGAUGAGAAGGUUGCUUCCCUUCACCUUGGCAAGCUAGGAGCUAGGCUUACCAAGCUCUCCAAGGACCAGGCUGACUACAUCAACGUGCCAAUCGAGGGUCCAUACAAGCCUGCUCAGUACAGGUACUGAGAGAUGGAACUUGAGGCAAAACGUGAUUGGAAACGGCGCUAUUGUUUCUUUUGUAUUUUCAUGAUGAUUUGUCCUAUAUUAUUAGGCUUCAAUUUUUUUCCUAGGAUUUGUGUUUUGGUGGUGGGGAAGACAUGGGAGGAAAAUAUAUGAAACGGUCUAUCUUGAAGACCACAUGGGAUUAUCUAAUAAGGUUUUGGAUUGGGGUUGUGUGGGAUAAUAUUGUAGCUGUUGCCAUUUUUCAUUUGAGUUUUCUUGCUGCAGCUUAUCUUCUUUUUAAUCAUGAAAAAGAUUAAAAAAUAACCUUUUUGUUUCACUUGUUGUCUCUCUUUUUGGUUGCCAAUCUUUCUUGGCUCACAUCAUUUUCGUUGCUUGCUUUUGUGCUUUGCCGUUUUAAAAAUUAUUAUAAUUUUCCAACUAUAAUUUUAGAAGUAUUUUUAAAUUGUUUUAAUGUAUUGAUUUUAAAAAUAAAUUUUAAAAAAUAAAAAAAUAUUAUUUUAAUAUAUUUUUAAACAAAAAUUAUUUUGAAAAAAAUAAUAUUUUUAAAUAUUUUGUUUUUUAAAAUAUUUUUUUUACUAGAAAAUUCAUUGAAAUAAUAUAUAUUUUUAUUUUUUAAAAAUUAUUUUUGAUAUUAAUACAUUAAAACUAUAUAUAUAUAUAUCUCUGAAGGCUUUUAUGUGUUUUUGUUUAGAUUCUAUUUUUCAAAGUAAUUUUUUUUUAAAUAAUAUUAAAAUAAAUUUUUUUUAAAUAAUUUUUUUUAAAAUGAGGUGAAAUGCAAUUUCAAAUAGCCUUGAGUAAUAACAAUAUUAUCUUAAAAACUAAAUGACAUACGUAUUUUAUUGUCAAUUUACAGUAAAAUAUAUCUUGAACUACAGUAAAAUCAUAUUUAUGUCAUUUGAUCCAAAAACAAUUAAGCUGAGGUCUUCAUGUUUUUUUUUUUUAUCUUAGUAAAAGUAUAUUUUUUUGCCUCUAAAGUAAACAAAAUAUAGAGUUGUUCACUAAAGGUUUUCUUGACUUUAUAUAAGUUUUAGGAUGUAGAUUUAUUAUUUACUUAUUUAAAUAAAUAAGUUUAAAUACAUGUCUUAUUUUAUGUUAUGAAAUAUCUUCAUUUUAUUUUUUAAAUUUUUUUUGUAAAAAAAUAUAUUAAAAUAAUCUAUAUAUCUGAUUUUUUUUAUGAAAUAAAUUAUAAGCCGCGGAAAGCGGAACUAAAAUCAAAAGGAUCAACAUCAUGGCACUGAAAAUCAAUUGGCUGUAUUGCUGCUAUUUAUUAUAAGAUAUUUUUUAUAAGAUAUUUUCUGACUUGUGUUAUAUUGAAUGGUAAAAUGAGCUGUGCCUCCGUGCUGCAACGCACUGUGGGUUUCUGUACUUUUCCAGUAUAAACUUUAUCAAGGCGAUGCUGUGAUGGAGGAAGAAUGGAGUAGGGGACAAGGGAGUGGGUGUUUGUGGUUUGUUUUUCUUAAUUAUUUCCAUGUUCCGGUGUUGGGUAGGUUUCGCAUUUUAUUGAUGUUAGUUCGAGAGCUGAUUUAUUUCUUUAAAAAAGAGGUUGGAAGUAGAUUUUUCUGGAAAGAUUUUCACUGCAAAAAAAACAUUUGAUGAACGUUAUUUGUUGCUCGUUGCUAUCCUGACUAGCAACUAAUUUUAUUCUUUUUCAAAAUAAGAUAAAGAAUCCUCUGUUUUUUUUUUUUUUUUAUUAAAACCAAUCGAGGAAGAUACACAUUAGCAAGUUGGCUACGGAAACCAUAGUUACCAAAUCUGAUUUGGGGUGGAUGCAGUCAAGAAGUCGGGUUUUAGAUGACAUGGGUUACCCCAUAAAGAUUAAAAAUAUUAUGUUUGAAAUUUUAAUAUUUUAAACGAAAAAAAAUAAUACAGUUGAAUGUAGGCUAUAAAAAAAAUAAAAUGUAGUAUAUUUAUCUCAUAUUAAAAAGUUAAUAAAGAAUCCAUGUGAAUAUAAGUUAUAUUUUUUUUUAAAAAAAAAUCAAUAUUGAUGUAAGAUAUAUAAAAAAAUGUGAAAUGUAAUGCAGUUAUUUCACAUCAAAAAAUUAAAAAACAAUCCUUGUAGAUAUAACUAUAUAUAAUUAUCUCACAUCGAUAAAUUAAAAAACAAUAUAUGUGGAUGUAGACUAUAAAAAAUAUGUUUAGUUAUUCCAUAUUGAAAAGUUAAGAAAUAAUCUAUGUGAUGUAAGUUAUAUAUAUAUAGUUAUUACACAUCGAAAAGUUAAGAAACAAUCCAUGUAAAUAUACAUUAUAAAAAAAUUAUGUAUGAUUAAAUAUUCAUAAAUUAUUUUUAUAUUUUUUGAAUUUAUUAAAAGAAUAAAAUAAAAUGUAAAAAAUAAAAUGUAAAAAAAAAGAAGUCAAGCCCCACCCUAGUUGCACCAGGUCACAAAGUUUUAGGUUUACCCAACAACUCGUACUAGUUUAACCAAACUAAUUAUAAAUCUGGAUUUUUAUGAUUUAAAAACUAGUCAAGACUUUUAGUCAUCUAGAACCUGAUAGUUCAGCCUGAGUUUCAUAAUCAUGGUUGAAACAUUAAUUGAUGUUUCAAGGCUGGCUUAAAAAUUAAAGGUCAGUUAUGCAUACUUGACAAGUAUUUUUUUUAUUAAUAUAAUAUCCGAAUUAGUUUAUAUAUACCCAUUAGUGUUCUUUUCAGGGUCCAUUGGCUGCCUUUCUGCUUAGUAUGAAAAUCGGAUCUGUUUUCCCUUUUAUCUGAAGGCAACGAAGACAAAACAUGUCGUGGAGACUCGAAAUGGUUCAAUGCAAUUCUUCAAUUGUCUUUUAAUAAUGUCCAUGGCCUGUUCCUGGGCACGGAAAUCGGAAAGCAAUGAUGAAGCUCCUUCUGAUAGUGGGAUGGUUUCUUGGGCUGAACAAUUUUUUUUUUUUUCACUGUCGAGCUGGUUGUAAGACACGGCUUGGUUCUUACAUGGUUUAGGAUACAGGUAGUUAGAUCAUCAAGUUAAUUUUAAAAUAAUAUGGUUUCGAUUAAAAAAAAUUAUUUGAAUUGAUCCGAAAGUUAGCAGGUCAACCUAUUAGACCACCGAGCAUGGCCAAAUCAAUGUAAAAAUCAGUUUGAGUUAUGUUUAAAAUAGAUUAGUGGCCUCUUCGUCAAGCUAGCUAGGAUGUGCCGAGUUUAAUGACUUUGAAAAAAGUAAUUCACAGACAUGGUGUUGCCAAAGUGGAGUUUCAAGAAAAUUUGGAGAAGCAAUAGCAGGCAAUCGAUGAAAAGAAGAGGAAAAAAACUUAUCUUGAAAAGUAAAUUGGUCCUGCAUUUCGACUUUUGACAACGAGGUUGCGUCUGUGUUUUAAACAAAACGCAGAUACAACCUGUUUGGUUAAAGAAAAAAAUAGUUUACUGUUCAUGGAUCCCAUAAUAUUUUUGGGUCCGAAACGCAGGGGAAAGAGAAGCAAAAAAAUGCUGCUUCUUACGCACUGUUCAUGCUAAUUAAUUAGCAUGAACAGUGUAGUCAGCUCCACUAUUCCGGCCGGACCGGUUCCGGUUCAAAGUUCAAAAUGCAUUGAACCAGGUCCGACCCAGUAAAAUAAUUUUUUUUUAAUUUUUUAAUUGUGUUUUAUUCGAAAAACUAGUGUUUAACAUUAUUCAAUGACACUACAUAAAUUAGACAGAGAUCGUUUGAUGACAUAGCGUUUGUAGAAUUUGAUCACAAUUCCAAUUUUGUUCCUGAUUAUAUUUUACCUGAUGUUGUUGCACGCUUAAGAAACCAAAAAAACUGUAGUUCUUAUCGGAUGUAUUUCAUACGUGAUGGAAUUGUAGAUAGUUUAAUGGAACAAUAAAAAAUAUUUUAUAUAAAGUAUUAUUUAUUUCAUAAUGUAAUAAUAAUAGUUAAAUCUACAAUAUUUAAAUUAAAAACAAUCAAUAUUAAUAUCUAUUUUUUAAAAUUAAUUUAUAACUUCAAUUUUAAAAGCAUUAUUAACCAAAUACAUUAAAUUACUUUUUGUUUAAUCUCAAUUUCAAUCAAAGUUUUAACCAAACAUAUAUUUUUUCAAACCAACUUCAACUAAAAGUAUAUUUUAUAAAACAAUUUUUUUCAAACCACAACGCAUAACUAUGAUCUUGAAAAUGAAUAGGGCUUGAACAAGAGUUCGGAGAUAUGUUUGAUGUUUCCAAAGAUGAACAGUCAUAUAACAUUGGGUGAAUGGGGAGGGCUUGGCUGUUUGAGGCAGCAUAGUGAUGGAGGCUGGCAGUCGGUCAGGGAAACAAGGCUGAAUGAGCAAGAGAUGGUGCAGCUAGCAAGGGAUCAGCAGAAACAGUGAAACUGGAGAAUUGCUGCCUUGAAAGGGGUUGCUCAACCAUUGCUAUGUAGCCACCAAUUCAGGGACCUAAAGUCUAAAGAAAUAGCAAUGACAUGGGUCACAGUAAAGCAAGUAGGUAGCUUAUAUUAGGGAUUUGCAGAGAGAACCUUCGACAGCGUUUGUUUACGCUGCUGCUGCUGCGUUUCGCUUGAAACGCAGCUCCUGCAUGUUUGGUUAAAAAAAAAACAGGAUUUACUGUUCAUGGGCCCCGCCUUUUCUUGCGUUUGCAACGCAGCAACGAUCGAAGCAGCUUGGAGCUGCUUUUGUUGCAACUGUGUUACAACACAGUAAACAAUGGCACGCCUUGCAGCAGAGGGAUAAUCAGCCCUUCUCCUUCCCCUUCUCCUUCCCCUUCUCCUUCUCCAAAGCAGCUUGGGGCUGUUUUUGUUGCAACUGUGUUAUAACACAGUAACAAUGGCGGGCCUUGCAGCAGAGAAACAUCCAGCCCUUCCCCUUCUCCUUCUCCUUCUCCUUCGCCUUCUUCUCCUUCUUCUUCUUCUUCUUCUUCUUCUUCUUCUUCACCAUGUCUCAACUGUUCUGCAACGUGAACAGUGGAGACUCCACUGUUCACGUUGAAGAACAGUGGAGCGCAGCUCCCUCACCACAACCCAGGGCCGCCGCCCCUUCUCCUUCUCCUUCUCCUUCUCCUUCUCCUUCUCCUCCUUCUCCUCCUCCUCCUUCUUCUUCUUCUGCACCAUGUCUCCACUGUUUUGCAACGUGAACAUUGGACGUUGCAGAACAGUGGAGCGCGGCUCCCUCACCACCGCCCAGGGCCGCCGCCCCUUCCCCUUCCCCUUCUCCUUCUCCUUCUCCUUCUCCUUCUUCUUCUUGUUCUGCACUUCUCCAUGUCUCCACUGUUAAUGGGCCGAACCCGAACCUAAAUACAUCGAACCGGUCCGACCCAAAUCUAAAUGCAUUGAACCAGAUGUGACCCAGUAAAAUAAAAAAAAUCUAAAUUUUUUUCUCAAUAUUGUGUUUUAUUUGAAAAACUAAUGUUUCACAUGAUUCAAUGGCACUACAUAAUUAUAUUUGAAGGAGAUCGUAUGAUGGCGUAGCAUUUGCAGAAUUUGAUCGCAAUCCCAAUUUUAUUCCUGAUGAUAUUUUACCUUAUGUUGUUGCACGCUCAGGAAACCAUGAAAAUUGUAGUCCUUAUUGAAUAGAUUUCAUACAUGAUGAAAUUGAACAUAGUUUAAUCUGACAAUAAAAAUACUUUAUAUAAAGUAUUGUUUAUUUCAUGAUGUAAUAACAGUAAUUAAAUCGUUAAUAUUUUAAUUAAAAAUCAUCAAUAUUAAUAUAUGUCUUUUUUAAUUAUUUUAUAACCUUAAUUUGAAAAGCAUUUUUUAACCAAACAUAUUAAACUACUUUUUCUUCACCCUCAAUUUCAACCACAGUUUUAACCAAACACCUAUUUUUUCAAACCAACCUCAACUAAAAGUACUUUUUUAUAAAACAACUUUUUUCAAACCACAACCACAACCACAACCACAACCACAACCACAAUACCAAACACACUCUAGUUCAAUGAAGGCAAAUUAAGGAUAUGAAGUCUGAACAGUCUAGGAAGGAAAUACGAACAAAUUUCUGAUAUCUAAUGGUCUAUUCUCAAAACAAGUCUUGACACAUUCUGACAAAAAAACCAUGAUUGAUGAAUCCCAAGAAGUCAAUGUUAAGGAGUAACCAUUAAAUUUGAUGGACAUUCUUGCAUGAUUGAUGAUGUUAAGGUGAGAAAAUCUUUUUUGUUUUUGUUUUUCAUCUGGGGUUAAGGUAGAGAAUGUUUAUCUUUGCUGGAAUCAUGAUUUUACUCUGGAGAGGGUCUAAAGCCAUGAAACUGAAGAUUGCAGCAGGUCAUGCCGAGGGUCAUGAUUCAAAACUGCCCUUAUCUGUCUGUGAUGGAUACAACAGACGCAGGAUAUAAUAUAUGAUGAUGAAGAUAUGCCAAUCCUUCUGUUAUUAAAAGCAUAAAAAUAAAGGGUAAGUUGCUGAGAAUUGUGAUAAAAUUGGCAUCUCGAUUUAAUAUUUGUACAUAUUAAAUAUAUUAAGUGAGUAUAUAUAAUAAAGUUCUAGGAACAUAGAACUAACUAAAUAUGUUCUUGGAAUUACAUAAUUUAUAUAGUUACCUUGUUUUCAACAUGGCAACCCAUUAACUAUGCCAUUUUUCCUAUUAUUUUUUUUAAAUUAUGCUACCUUGUCAUUUUUUCUGGCUAUAUGAAUUAAAAAAAUUGGUUUGGAGGGAAAAUAUGAUCAACUUGCGAGCUAGUUUGAGACCAUAAAGUCUAUUUUGUUGCUGCCUCAAGUUGUCUUUCUUAAUGCAAAUCUCGCUAGGAGAUUGUCAUAUGAGACUAUUUUUUUUUUAUCUAGUUUCUUGGUUCUUUUAGUUUGUUUUUGUAUUUUGCCCCUGUUCUUUAUCAAUUCUUUUGGGUUGUUUGUUGCUGCAGUGUAUUACUUUGUUUUAUGUGUAUUUAUUAUAUUUUUUUCUUUAAAAUUAGGGUGUAUUAGUAUCUGGGAGUUGCUUAAACUUUUUCUUUUGUUGUUGUUUGAUUGUUUCCCAUUGAGGUAAGCUAUUUUGCAGGUUUGUUUAUUGGUCUUUCCCUCUUUUGUGCUUUGUAUGCAUCUUUUUCUCCCAGGGAUGUUCAUCAUUUUUCAUCCACAUUGUUGCUUUGGUUAUUAUCUGGCCUUUUCUUUUUCGCUUUGUUCGUCCAUAUUGUGUGCUUUUAUGCUGACUCACGAUUGUUUAUUGAUUUCUCAUCCUGUGUCUCUUCAGAGGAUGGAAACUGUUAUUGGAUUUUUCUGGUUGCCAUCUUUGUUAUUUUUUAAGGUAGAUGCUAUUUUAUUCAUGUUGUUGUUUACAGUUCAAGUUCUGAAAAGUAUUGUGUGAUUUCCUCUUUGUUUUGAUGUUGGUUAGAAGGAAAAGAUAUAGAUGUUGUGAAUUUGGUUAUGUUUAGUAGCAUGUUUCAUUGUGCAAAGACAUUGUUAGGAUUGUCUUUGAAGCUGUUGUCUAUGAUGUCUUUGGGUGUCUGUAUUUUGGUUCAAGCUGCAUAUAUCGUCUUUAGGCAUUUUCUAGGAUUAGUUUGGUUUCUGAUGCUGCUGAGCUUUUUUUUCUAAGCAAUGUUGUCAUGUACCAAUAAGUCUGCAGACCUUAAAGAUGAUGACAUAUGGAAGCAAACUUGAUCUGGAACUGAUAAGGGGCUGCUUCGAGUGUCAUGUUCUUUACUUUAGAAGUUUGCCCCCUUUUAGUUUGUGUUUUCUUGCGUUGGAUAUUAAUGUACUGAUGGGUGGUUGAGGAGAGUACACUUAUGGCUUUAAGAGUGUAAUAGCUCCUUCACGCUAUUUUGCACUAAGUUUUUCUCCUAUUGUGUUUCUUUUGUAGCUUGCUUUGUUUAGUUCUUUCUUCUUCUUUUGCAUUGUGCUAUGCGUGUAAUGGAUCCUUCAUGUUAUUUUGCUCUUUUACUUCUCUUUUUUGACAUGCCUGCAGUGUUGGUGUGGUUAUAAUUAAUGCCUUAGGCUAUUGUUUCUGUCCAAUUUUUUCUUUUUAGGUUCUCUUUUUUUUCUGGUUUAACCUCCCGUUGCUAUGCGUGUAAUGGAUCAUUUGCUUAUGUUCUGUCUUCAACUCCUCUGUUGCUCAAACUUUCGGACCCUUGGUUGCUGCUUUUUAUGCUCCUCUUUCUGCUUUAUUUGUUUGUUCUUUCCACUCAUUAUUUUUUCUUUGUUUGUUUUUCCUUUUUAUCUUUUUCUGCUUGACUUGAUGUGUUUGCUUUUCAACAUUUCUAUUCUUAUCGUGUUAUUGUCUACGCUGUGCUUUCAGUGGGAGACAAAGUACAAAAAGUUACUGCAGGUUACGUUGCUUGGAGAUGGGUUCGUUGCUUCAACAUUAGUUAGUUGCCUUCUCAACUCUUUACUCAGCUUUGUCAGUCCUUUGGGUUGCAUUAUAGCACUUCCAACAUGUCCCAUUCCUUUUCUUUUUAGGUUGACUGAUCUUCUUCUUUCCUUUUUAUCUCCAGGUUUACUGGUACGUACAACCACCAAGUGUCUCGGUUGCAUCUGACCUGUGCUCGAGAUUACUGCCAGAAUAAAUUGAACUUUCUUGAUAUGCAGGUAAUCCUUAUUUUGUUGUUGCAGCUCUUACGUUGUUUUACAUUCCUCUGUUUGCUCUUUUUAUUUCCCUUUUUACCGCGAUGCUCAUUGCUGGACUAGCCAUCUUCGUGGACUUGAUGUGAUGUUCAUUUCGGGCAUUUAUUUUACAUUUGUUGUGGCAUUCAUGACAUGUUUUAGGUCUCAUAUAAUUUUAGUCAUGUGCUUUCAACAUGUCGAUUAGAUUUUCUUCCAUGCCUGUUGCUCAUUUUUCAUUUUCGCUCCUGUUGUUUUGCUUGUUGCACACCACUCUGUACGUAUUAUUUUACUUGUGCUAACCUUAUUUUUUCUUCAGCAAUUGUUGAUGGCCUCCACUAUGAAAUCAGGGGUUUUUACACCUAUGAGAACAUAUCAUCAAAUAUGGUGAUUGCCAAUGAUGUUGAACUUAAGUCAACCGUUAAGACCAAUCAAAUAGAUCCUCUUACCACCGUUGUGCCAAGAUACUACUUCAAGUUUACUGACUUUUCACAUGUUCUCUCCCCAGGAAAAGGUUCACAGAUUUCUACAGGUUUGCACAAACCCUUGCAUUUUUUGCCAAGCUUAUGCACUUCCCUUUUUUACAAUUAAAUAUCCAUGCAAUAUUAACAUUUGUAAUCCAUGUUUUCAUCAAGAUGUUCUGGGAAGGAUCAAAGCUACUCAACCGCUUGAACAAGUUUUGGUUUGAGGGAAAACAAUGGAGAACAAGAGGGAGUUUAUACUUUAUAACACAAGGUUGAGUCCAUAACUUCACCCAAUGUUUUCUAAGCUUUGCUCCUUCUAAACUAAGCUCUCUUGGCUUCUUUUAAAAGGGGUGAUGAGAUGCACAUGACUCUGUGGGGCGACAACACAAGGAAUUUUGAUGAAGCCACUCUUCAAACACUCCAAUCCCCCAUCACAUUAAUUGCUUUCGCUGGUUUUUGUGUCACCGAGUACCAAGGUCAGAUUUCAAGUUCAUAACCUGAUAUUAUCUUAUAAUAUAGAUGUUCAUAUUAUAUUAGCUUUCUAUUCCUAAAUGUUCAACCAAUAUUUUUAAAGUCAUGUUUUAUCUUGGAAAAUGACUUUACAUCACUGCACUUUAUAUUUUCACCUGUUGUUUUGUUUACAUUCAGGCAGGCAAAACCUUAAUGGAUCAACUGCUUCUAUUUGGUACUUUAAUCCAGACACUCAUGAAGCAUUGGCUUAUUACCAUUAGUACGUUCCUUCAUCCUUCAUCAAUCUAUUUGCAUUCAAAGCAUACUUAUUCAACUUUCUUCAUUUGCCAAACCAACUUAACAUGGAAACUUUCUAAUCAGCUUUGGUAAGCUACCUGUUAAGGUUUACCAACUACCCUCAUCAUCCAAUGUUGUUUUAUCACUUGUAAAACAUAUGAAUGAGAACAAGAAAACAAUCAAGGAGAUUCUUUGCAUGAACCCAUAUGAACACAAGGUUAACUUUCUUUCUUUGAGCUUUAAUCUCUUUGGACAUGACACCAAACUUGUAACAUUAUUCACCAUGCUUCAUAUCACUGUACUUCACUCAUGCUUUUUUUCCAAACAACACACGUUUAAAGUGGCUCGACCUGUCUCUUACAGGAUAUGAGGUCCACAUGCCACACAUCUAUAGCAGACUAUGAUAUUUUCAAUGGAUGGUGGUAUCCGAGUUGUCCUUGCUGCAACAAAAAGCUUGGUGGCACCAAGACAAAUCCAGUAUGCAUGGAUCAUGAUGCCAUAACAUCGUUACCGAUGCCAUGGUAAGUUGCAUAUAAAUAGAAUAUGCCGCCACUCUUGCAAAGAAUUACAUUUGUUUAUCUACCGAAACGCUUCAAACAUAUGCUCAUCUACUGGUUCUUAAACUUCUAUAAAAUCUUGGCAGGUUUUGAUUUGACUGUGUUGCCGCUGACGAGGAAGAUGUUACUAACUCUCUUAUAGUUGGUUGGUUAUCGCACAUCAUUAUGUUUACUGUAGAGAAUUUAAUGACCCCAUGAUUAUUGCACCACCGAUGGCAAGUAAGCUCAACAAGGCAUAUAUUUUUCAGCUGUGGUUUGGGGCUUUCAGAUCAACAACCAAUCGCUGCGAGAUUAUUGUGCUAAAUUACAUUAACAUUAACAUCGUACUGCUAACUUUUUUGGCAGAUCACGUUGUUUUAAAGCUAUUUGAUUUUAAGGACCUAGCAACCUUAAAUAUUUAUAUUUUAAUACUGUCAAUAUUAGCAUUUUUCUUUUUUACAAAAGCAGAAAAAUGAAUUUUCCUCUCAUAAUUUCUUUGUUUUCAUCAUGUAUUGUCCUUUCACCUAUCUUUUCUUCCCUUUAACACCUUUACAUUAUGAUUACAUUUACAUUCUCAUUAGAUUAAUUUACCUACAACAUCAUUUAGACAACUUAUUAUGCAUCAAAUUUUUCAUUUCCAUCAAAUUUGAGGUGAUGACAUUUUGCCAUUGUCAAUGUAGCAGAUCUGCGUUCAUUUAAUGCAGUUUUCAUGCUGCAGAUGCUAUGUUGCCAACACAAACAUGAUGGUUUUCUAUGCAUAUCUUGGACCGUUUCCGUGAUGCAAGAUAAUCGAUUCCAUACCACCAUGUGUAUGAUAAUUAUAGCCAGCAGGCACUAAUCACUAUGUGUUCAAGCUACUGCUCAAUCGAUGACAGCUCUAUCAUCACUUUUGCUAAAGAAGCUGAGAGUUCCUUUCUUUACUUGCAUAUGCUUUUGUUUAGACCUUUUGUGUUUGACUUUAUCAUUUUCGCCCUUUUUUUAGUGCAGGGACACACAAUCAUGUUGUUAAUAUUUCCUUUCUAAUUGUCAAAGUGGCUGCAACAUGCACUAAUGAUCUUCCACCUGUCUUUUGCCUUGCAAUUUCAACUUCUAGAUCUGUCAUGUUCUUACAAGAAUCGUUUCACGUUGUUAUUCCUUUCUAAUUGUCAAAGUGGCUGCAACAUGCACUAAUGAUCUUCCAUCUGUCUUUUGCCUUGAAAUUUCAACUUCUAGAUCUGUCAUGUUCUUACAAGAAUCGUUUCAUGUUGUUAUCCUUAGAAAAAUGCCCACCUAGUCUAAUCUAAAAUAAAACUUUUUUUGUUAAAAUCAAAUGUAAAAAAACAACUUAAAUCAAUUCGCAAAAGUCAUGGCAAACACAACCCAAUAAAGCUUAUAGACAAAGUUAAGUCUAGGAAAAGCGUUUCUAUGUAAAAGGGAUACGCACUGAUGAUAUCAAGGGAUCGCCAUUUAUCAUGCCUGGACAUUUUAUCUGUCAUUACUAAAGUUAAGGGGACACAAAAUAAACAAGAAACUAUCAGAAAGCUCUGAAUCUAACUCUCACAUUCUUGAUAACAGUGAACUUGCUGCUAUACAAAAUCUUUAAUGCAAUUAGGAUUUCAAUGGCAGGGAGGGAGCACUUUCAAUUGCAAAGGAAUAUGAUCCAUGAAACAUGAUGGGUUGAAUCAACUAUACAACAAAACACACACACACACGAGUAUAGGUUAACGGUGAAGAAAGAUGGCACAUUACAUGCAUAUCUUUCCUCAAAUGUUGAAUUAACCACAUUUUGCUUGCCAUGCCUACUUGAGUUUUAUGAGCAAAUAAUGGUGGAUAAAAUUAAAAGAAACCAAAAAGGGAGUAGAAUUAAUGUAAUGUUUUUUUUUUUUAAUGUAGGUGUUUGGGCUACCUCGACUAAUUUCACGGGCCCUGAAGUUAACGAUCAGGUAAGUCUCUAAUAGCCAUGAGAUUUAUAAAAUUCAAACUGAUAAUCUCAAAAAACAAAUUUAAAAUUUAACUAAUAAGCUAUACCCUGAAACUUUUUUUGAUUAAUGUAAUGUUUCUGUUUGUUGCUUUAGACUUGUAGUCACUGUUGAUUGAAACAGAUGAUUUUAACCUUAUCGACAAAACAUAAAUGGCCUUGGAAGUGGGGGUAAAGUAAUCUUUUUGUUGUUUUGUGCACAUUUAUAUAAUCUUACAGGAAAAAAUUAGUAAGAUGGCGGGCAGGGGUACUUUUUAUUUUUGUUUUUUAUUUAUUUUAAUUGCAUAGUAAAAUUAUCGCAAUAUCCUUGAAUUAAAUUUGUUUUUGCCCUGGGUCAAAGGGUUUUUAUGUGUUUUCUAUUUAUUUUUUCAUUAUAAAAUAUGAUAAAGGGAAAUUUAAUAUUUUACCAUAAAUAAAAUAAUAAUUAAUUCUAAAAAGUAGUUGCGCAUGAAUGCUCCUAGAUAUUUUUUCAAUGCCUAUGACAUCAUCCGACAAGCAAAAUCCAGCUUUCACGAUAUCAUUUUAUUCCUUACGAUAUUGUCUCCAUUAACUAGUGGUGCAUGUACAAAAAAAAAAAUAUCAGGUUUUGUUCCGCUGGACAUUUCUUUUAUUCCUUUCUCUUCCUUGGUUUUAUAGCCUUCCCUGUACAUUUUCAAAACAUCCUUUUAAUUUUUUUUUCUUUUAGAUUUGAUUAUUAUUUUUUUAUUGUUAUUUUUUAAUUUUAAAUAACAUAUUGAAUUGUAUUGGAGUUUUCUUUCAAUUUAAGAUCAUUUGAAUUUUUAUACCUUUCAGAUUUAGUCCUUAUUAUUUUGAUUAUUAAAUUUUUUAAUCAUUCUCUUAAUUAAAUUAUUUUUUAAUUACAUCCUUUAAUAUUUUAUAUCUUUCUCUUAAUUGAAUUAUUUCUUCAAUUGCAUCCCUCGAUAUCUUAGUUCAUUUUAUUUUAUGUUAGAUUUAGUUCUUAUUCUUUUGAUUACUAUUUGUUUUGUUUAUAUUUUUUUUAUUGGAACUUUUUUUUUUCAAUUUCAUCCCUCAUCAUUUUAUUUAUCGGGAUUUUGUUAACUUUUCGGGUCACGAGUUUGAAAGAUUGGACCGAGUUUGCUUAGAUCUUUUUUUUUCAUAUCCUUUUUUAUGAUUGAUUUUUUCCAAUUCCAUCAUUCUAUGAGAUUGUCUCGACUUCAUGUACAAGAUCACAAGUUUUGCGUGUUAACCCAACUUGACCUGGCCUAAUUUUUAUUUUUUGUUGUUGUUGAUACCUAUUUUUAUCAUAUUAUCGAAUUAAUCGAGGUUUAACCUGACUUUCAGAUUUCACUUGCUUAUUUAAAAGUGCUACUAUUGGCUAAAUAUUUUUUUACAUGAUAAAAAGAAUUUGGUACAGCCCAUAGCUUUACAUACAAAAAAUACUAAAAAAGCUCAGUGUUUUCUUGUAACCCCUCUCACAAUUAACUGUGGAUUCACACAAUGAAUUUACCAAAUUGUCCUUGGAAGAGAGAAACACAAAGGCUGGCUUUAGGGGUGUUUUUAGACUUUUACACGGGAUAUAUUUGGUAUUGUAGAAUUGAUGAGGGGCAUAUGUGCCUUUAUCUCUUUUGAUUGCACAAUGUAAAAUCCUAAAAACCAUUGGAAGCAGACUUUCAGUUUGCUUUGGGAGAGGGGUUUUUCGGUGUUUUUUUUUUAGCACAGCGAGAUUAUUAAAAUAUCCUUGGAUUUUAAAACAAAUGCUUUUGACUUUAGAGGUACUGGCGUCUUUCGCACUUCAAUUGUUUUGUAAAUUUCGUGUGGGGUUAGGGGUGUUUUGGUAUUUAUAUAAAAAAAGUUGUUGGCGUGUGAUAAGAACGCGUCAACGUGUGGAGGUUGUCCACGCUAUUUAGGCGGCACGUGACACCUUCGAUAUCCAAAAAUACCCAACCGUCAUCUCAGGCGAAGCGUCUUCUUGACCUAUGUGUGUUGUUAUAAGUGUCGCCGUUAGGUGACAACUAGAUUUCUUUUUCUUCACCUUGUUUUCUCUCUCCUUUACCCACCCAAAGUUAUUUCAAUUGCGGUUAUUUCAAUUGCGGUCCUUAUAUUAUUUUAUUGUUCUGUAUUUGCUUUAAAUUCUUUUUAUGAUUUGUUUUUAAUUUUAUCCUUUAUCAUUUUAUUUUAUUUUUAUUUUUAUGUUAGAUUUGGUUCUCUUUCUUUUAAUUGAUAUUUAUUUUGCUUUUCAUCCUUCUUCUAAUUGAUUUUCUUUUCAAUUUCAUACAUGAUUUUUUUUAUUUGAUCCCCAUUCUUUUAAUUAUAAUUUCUUCUGGUUUCAUUUAUAUUCUUGAUUGAUUUUUUUUUUCAGAUUCAUCCCUCAUUGUUUGAUUUUAUUUGAUUUUAAUGCCAAGUUCGAUCCUUAUUUUUUCAAUCCUGGUUUUUAAACCCAAUUCAGGGGUUGACCUCGGGCAAGUUCUAGGUCACAGAUAUAGUGAGUUGAUCAAGGUUACCUAGAUCAACUUAGCCUAAAUUUUUUUUUCAAGUUUUUAAAAAAAAUUACAAAGAAGUUGCAUCCUCAUUUUCUUAAUUAUGGUUCUUAAACCCGGCUCUGAGGUCGACUUUGGGCAAGUUCGGGGUUACAGGUCGAGUGAGUGGCCAGUGUUACCUGGGCAACAAAUUUUUUAUUUUAAAAAUAUCUAAAAAUGAUAUUAUUUUGGUCAAAAGUUUACAAAAAAAAAUUCAAUGGGUUUUAAGACAGGUUUUUUUAAAAAUUAAAAAGAAUUUAACGAACAAAAUUUGGUCCUUAUUUUUUUUUUAUCAUGGUUUUUAGACUUAGCUCGGGGGUUGACCCGAAGCAACUCUUGGGUCACAAGUCGAGUAAGUUGACUAGGGUUGUCUGGAUCGACUGAUUUUUUUUUAUUAUGCAAGAAUGUCAAAAUUAUAUAUAUUUUUUAUAAAUAUUUAACAAAUAAAAUCAACGAGUUUUGAAAAAAUUUAACAAAAAAAUUUAGUCAUUUCUUUGAUCGUGAUUUUUAAUUAAUUUUUUUUCUUGGUUUCAUCUAUUGGUAUUUAGUUUAUUGAAAAUUUUACUUCAUAAUUUUUUCAGGUUUGCCUUCUAUAAUGUGGUGUCGGCCUCAUAACCGGGGUUAUGAGUUUAGAAAGUUAGUUUUAGUGGACUUUUAUUUUUUAGCAUAUUUUUUUUAAAUUUAAUUUUUCAAUAUUUGGUUUGUUACAAAUUAGCUUUUGUUAUUUUUUCUAUUUUUUUUAGAGUUAUCCCAAUCUCAUAUCUCGAGUCGCGGAUUUGAUGGAUUAACUCAGAUAUUUUUUUGUUAUCACUUUUUUCUUGAUAUCCUAGAUAUCAAUUUUUAUUAAUUCAAUUUAUUUAUUCUUAUUUUUUAAAAAAAUAUUAUAAGAUUAGCUGAGAUUAUUACACCAAUCAACUUAAUAAUCAGCUCGGCCCACAAAAUAUCAGUGCCAUCUAGUCUACACUAUACCUCAUCCACAAGAGCUUCUGAAUAUUACAUAUGGCAAAAAUACAUAAAUUAUAGACAACUCUCACCUGGGACACAUGAAGCCUAUAAACUGCUAUGCACUAUGCACUAUGCACUAUGCACUAUGCAAGGAAGGAAAGAGAAAAAAGGUUAAAAAAAAAAACUACAAAGCAGCAGGGCAUCAUAUAGUGAUUGCUUUCUCAAAUCAAAGUUUUCUUAGAGUAUUUAUGGUGUCAGUACCUAGAAAAUGUAGUGCAAGAUCAUAGGUGCUGAUACUAAGGAAGUUUGGAAUGGUAGAGAAUAGCAUGAUGGCAUCUACAUUAGGGUAUCCUAUUUCCACUUCAGUAAGUCAAUCACGGCAAAACUUGCAUCUAAGCAUAGAACUUCAUCUAAAUAAGAAGUUGUCGGGUGGGGUCUCCUCAUAGCCUGAGUGUUUGGGCAGAAGAACAUGGUGAGAUUGCAGCGGAUGUAAGAUUGACAAGCCCUGAAGUUUGAAAUCAGUUUUUCAUCUCGUCUACUGAUGCAGUACUUCUCAACACAUCAUCUUCCUAUGGGAAUCCUUGAAUCUUGGCAAACCUCAACCUUUCAUUCCUUAGUUUCUCACAAUCCAUCUAGCAAGAUAUUGAGGUAGAAAUAUAGAAAUUGCAUUUACUUUGCCUCUAUAAACAUAUCUGGGAAAAAGAAAAGAAGGGUCUUGUUUAUGAUCAUUUCCAAUAUUAAGCUUUUGCUUCACAACCUUUCAUUUCUUUAAACUAAAAGGGUAAACCAGUGACUAGUUAAUGAAAAGAAAGAUAACCUCAAAUCUUCCAUAGAAGAAUGCUGAGAUUUCCAAAGGCAUGACAUCCUCAACUCCCCAAAAUAAGCAUCAACUAAAUAAUGUAUAAAAAGACACCCCAGAUCUCCCAAAAACUAGGCUAAGAAUUUCAUUAAUAUAGCAGAUCAAAACAUGAUUCUCUUGAAUUUACAUAUACAACCAAGAAAAUCCCAAAGGGAUACAAAAUCAAGAAAUGCAGUAGCUGAUUACCAAUUCCACAAGAUCAUGUCAAUUACACUAUUUUCUUCUAAUUGUUAAUGUCCUUGACGCUUCUUGCACACCUUGUAAUGACCUCACAGCCUCUGUUAUAAGGAUGAGCCUGUCUAGCAUUGCAGUCAUAGUAUGAUGCUCCUGGUUUAUCACAGGGAACCAAGUCCCUCCUCAGUGUCUCAUAACUUAUGUACUUCUUGUGCAUCAGCAACACUCUCCUGCUGAUCUCUGACUCCAUUUCUGACUCUUCAAAGCACUCUCCAAUUUUCUCUGAGCAACCCUUACUGACAAUGGCAUCAAUCUCACUGGUUUUCAGUGAAUUGAGGCCUGAAACUGAAUCAGCAUUGCAAAUUGUGAAAAGGGUGAGGAGGAAAAGCAGUGAAAGGUAGAGUAGUGUGGGAGUAUGAGGGAAAAGCUGGUGUUCGGACAUUUCUUUUUGGUUUUCUUGAAUUGGUUGGAGUUAAUGUUUUCUUCUGGGUUAAAUUUUCCUGUGGAGGCGUGUGAAAGUGAGAUUUCAUGUGGAUGGAAGGGUCAUUACGUGGGACAAGACAUUCAAAUAGUUCCCUUCACAUGUGUUGAGCAAUGUUGAUUUGGCUUCCACUUGCAUAUUUGUGUCAGUUUAUCCUGCACAGGAGAUCAUAAUCACUGACCACUUGACAAUUAAAGUCCAUUGUUGUUGUGAUAGCUCAAAAGGGAUUGUUUGGAAUUGUAAUUUUAUUUUUCCUUACAUCUAGAGUAUGUUUAAUAUUAUAAUAAUUUUUUUAUUGUGUUAUGAGAAAAAUAAGUUUUACAAAAUUAUUUUUAGUUGUGAUUAAUUUAAUUAAAAUAUGUAUUUGAUUAAAAUUAUAGUUGAAGUUGUUGUCCAUAAAAACAAUGUUUAAUAUGUUUAGUUAAAAAUAAAGUUAAAAUUGAUGUUGAUAAUAAAAUGAACAAAAAAAACAUGUAGUAAUUUUUUAUUUUGCAAUUAUAUUUAUGUGCAUUUGAUUAUUAAUGCAUUGUAAAAAUAGUCAUGUGAAUUACAAUGCUGGUUUUAUUGUUUCAUUAAAUUUACUAUAAUUUCAUCAUGAAUAUAAUCCAUACACGAAGAAUUAUAUAUUUCAUUGUGAUGUACUUGUUACUUAACUACAAAAAUAAGAGCAAUUAAAUUCAUCCAUAUGUUUUAUUCUACUUUAUCAUUCAAUAAAUUAAUAUGAGUAUGAAUAUCGAUAUAAUUUCUUAAAAGACAAUGAUUAUCAAAGAGCAAAUCUAUACAUUUCUUGUUCACGAAUCAAUAACCUCAAAGCUAAAAAAACAAAACCCAUAAAUUUUUUAAGCUAAAAAACAAGUUUGAAGUUGAAAAGAAAAUGAUUUCAUAUAGUUGCAAUCUAAGCUUUGUAAUCUACAUCUCAUCAACAAAUUCAUUCAAACUCACCAAAAAAUUAGUCUUUUGCUGCUGGCGUCAAGCACACUUAAUGUAGAUCUGUGCAAAUACAAACUCUCCAAACUCUUAGAGAUAAUUUGUAGCUCUUUUGUUCGUACGGUUGUUUCUUCAACUAAGGAAAAUUUCAAAGGUUGUUUUGGUCUAUGUGUUUUUUCAAUAGUAAAAAAGAAGCAGGUAAAAGAAAAGGCAAGAGAAGUGGUUCACUAGGAACAUGUAAAAGUUUCUUCAUUAAAAACUAAGGUCAAACCUUUUUUAUUGAUGGGUCUUAUGAACCAAAUCACAAGUUUAUUUUGUAACGAAAUAGUAUAUAAUUAAGGUGGGGUAAAAAAAACAGCUCCCACAAAAAUAAACGGUCACUUACAAGGAAUGUCGAGUUAAGAAAUAUUUUUUUAUGGUAUUUUUUAGGCUAAUAUGAUCAAAGAAGCUUUAAAAACAUUUAAAAGUAAAUCUAAACCUUUUUUUCAAAGAUUAUAGUAUAAUUUCAAUGAUUAUUAGAUCUCCCAUCAGGAAAAAAAUACAUAAUAAGAUAUGUUGGGAUUUUGUAUAGCAAAGAAAAUGACUCAGAUUUGAGCCAAUAUCUAAUUAAUUUUAGUGUUUAUAUUUUAUUUGUAGUUAUUUUUUUUACUAUUCUAUCUCAUAAGAAUCAAGUUUACAACUAUAAUAAUUAAACCUUUUUUAAAAAAUUAUUUCAAGAAAUGUUCUAACAAAAAACAUUUUACAGAAAGUUGUGAAAAAUAAAAAUUAACUUGUUAUGUACUAAUUAUAUCGAAUUUGAUCUUUAAUCUUUUGAAUGCUAUAUAUUUUAUUUUGAAUCUUUUUUUUUUCAAUUUCAUCCCAUAGAAUUUGAUUUAAUUUGAUUUUUAUACCAACUUUGAUCCUUAUUUUUUUAAUUGAGAUUUUUUAUCUACUAGAUUUGAUCCCCAUUCUUUUUAUUGCUAUUUAUUUUAUUUGAAAUAAUUUAUGAAUUUUUUUUCAAUUUCAUUCUCUUUAAUUUUUUUAUCUGUCAGAUUUAGUUUUCAUUAUUUUCAUUAUUAUUUGUUUUAUUUGAAAUAAUUUAUUAAAUUAGAUUAUGUUUUUUAAUUUCAUCCUCCUUCAACUAUUUUAUCUGUCAGAUUUGGUCUCUAUUUUUUUUAAUAAACUUGAAAAAUAUAAAACAUUAAUAAGUUAUUUUUCAGCUUAUUUUUCAUGACAUAUUCAAAUACUAGAAAAUAUUUUUCAACUUACUUUUCAUUACACUACCAGACAUAAAAAAUUAAUUUACUUUCUAUAAAAAAUACUUUAAAAAAACUACUUUCCUAUGUGGUGAAUUUGUUUAUUCCUAGUCUUGAUAUUUUAGAUUUUUUGAAUUCCAGAAAAUAAAAUAGGCUAAAAGUUUCAUGUUAAUUACAAGAAACUAAAAGAUGUGGGGAAAUCUUUGUAUAUAUGCUUAACUUUACUAUGGAUUAUAAUAGUGAAUUGAUAAUUUUGCUAUUGAUAAAAAAAUCAAUAGAACUGGCAUUGGAAGGUAAAAUAAUAUUUCAUGGGGUUUAUUUGUAAUUUUAUAUUUGUUAAGGGGCUCCUCGGUCUUCUCUCUUGUUUUUUGCACAGUAAAUUACUUGAUAACCUUAAAAGCAAAAAAAAAAAAAAAACUUGCGUGUGCCCUACGAGCAUCUCGAUCUCUUGAUUUUUUUAAGCACAAUAUAAUGAUCCAAUUGACCUUAGAAUCAAAAUUCUCAAAGCAUGGUUUUAGUGGCUUUUACAUCAUUUUAUAAAGGUUUUUUCAUAGUAAUUAUUUGGUGCUAGGGGUAAUGUGUUAAUUUGAUAACUAAAAAAAAAAAGAGUUGUUGAUGCAUGCAUCAGUCGCUCCACUGCCUUCUGACGAUGCAUGCAGCUCAUUCUGAUGGUUAAAAACUGUUGUUCGCCAUGUCAACCCCACGACGUCCUCUUACUCAUGCGAUGAUGCGUAUAUGUUGUUUUUCAGCAAGUUGUUGCCGAUAAUGUUUUUCUUUUUGCCCCAUUCUCUCUCAUUCAUUGAAAUUUGCGAUGAUCAUUUAAAAUUUCAAGGUAGUCUCCUUAGUUGCACGUAUUUAAGUGUUGAUCCUUAUUUUUUUUUUUGUAUGUUUUUUCCUUGGCCCUCCUGUAGGUUUUUUUUUUAAAAAAGAAUUCGCUAUUCAAUCUAUAUUUAUUAUUUUUUGUUUCUUCAAUUUUGGUUAUAAUUCUUUUUAUUUCUUAUUUUAUUUCUUAUCCCUUUAGUGAACAUUCAAUUGCUUUCAAUCUCGUCUUUUGAUAAAACAAAAACUAAUUUUUAUUUUGUUUUAACUUAGUUCUCAUUCUUUUAGUGAUUUCUUCUUUUAAUUAUUUUGUGAAUUUGGUUUUUCUUCUCAAUUCAACCCUUCAAUCUGAAAUUAUCCAUCCUCUCAUUUGUUUUUUUUCUUCAAAAUUCAUCUUUGUUCAUUUAAUUGCUAUUCUUUUUUUUAUAUCAUUUUGUAUAUAUAUUUUUUUCAAUUUCAUCAUUUAACAUUUGAUUUAUUGAAAAUUAGGCUUUGUAGUUUUUUAAGUCUUGGUACUUAUGAUCAAAUAGCUCGAGUCACGAGUUUUAUAAACUACCAUGGGUUGAUAUCAAUUUUUUUACUUAUUUUCUUUUUUGAGCUCAUUACUUAGCAUUGAUCUUUUUUUUUUUACGAAGUAAGCUUCAUGGUUUUCUUUAUUUUCCUUUCUAUCAGGUUGUCUGAUCUCAUAAACUGACUUGUGAGUUUUGCGUGUUGACCCGAGUGGACUUAAGCCUUUUUUGGCUUAUAAUUGCUAAAAAAUUAUCCCUUUGUAUGAAUGAUUUUUUUUUUCAAUUUUAUCUUUUAACAUUUGAUUAGUUGAAAAUUAGGCUUCAAUGGUUUUUAAAUUUGGUGCCUCUAGUCAAAUAACUUGGGUCACGAACUUAAUAGGUUAGCAUGAGUUGUCAUCGUUUUUUUUUUAUUAUUAUUAUUUGGGUUGAGAAUUUAACUUCUUGAUUGAACCUGGAUUUCAGAUUUCAUAGGUUUCGAUUUGGAAAUAUUAAAUUUGGGUUUUUUUUUUUUUAUGUUAUCAAGUUAUUUUAACUUAUUGAACUCAAUCAACUAAAUUUUUUUUACUUAUUUAGAAAUCCUAGCGUCACCUUAACUUUUUUCUUCUUAAGUCCAAAACAAUUCGGGUUAGCGCGUGAUGUUAUGCCGAUCAUCUAUAUAAGUUUACCUAGGUCACUUUUUGUCAUUUUUUAAAAUUCUUUUUACUUUCAGCCUUCAAUAUUUGGUUUAUUAUAAUUAGACUUUUUAAUUUGUUUCGAUGUGGGUCUAUAAUUUUAUCAUGAUCUCACACUUUAAUCGUGAUUUUCAUAGGUUAACUAUUGUUACCUUGGAUCGAUCCAAUGUGUUGUCAUCUCAAUAUUUUCUUCAAAAAAUAUGUCAACCAAUAUGUUACAAUUUAAGUAUUCUAAAAGUAUUUCGACCAUUAUGCAUCAAAUUUUUGACUUUAUAAUGUCUUAAUGAUUUUUCGGCCGAAAAAAAAUGACCAGCGGUGUUAUGAGGACUAAAAAGUUAGUUGAUAUCUAAUGAUGGAUAUCUAUUUCAGAUAUUGGUGGGGAAAAAAUAAUAUUGAUACACAAAAUAUAAUAAUGAUAAAAUUCAGCCUUGCUAGUCAAUCCGGUUACUCACCGAUUUAGAGGUUAGUCUAGACCGAGUUUCAUUUCAAUUUGAUUUUUUUCUUUGUCAAAACAAUGUUGUUUGUCUUUUAGAAAAAAAAAAACAGAAAUGGUGCUGAUUAAUUUUUUAAAAAAUUUAAAUGAUAUUAUUUUGGUUAAAAAAUUGGAUUGGUCUACAAACCUAACUUUGAGUCGAGUCAAACCAUUGCAUCUUAUAACCAUGCACAAAGAUAACCUAUGAAAGUCUUAACGUUAAAAUCAAAUGAAAGAAUUCAUAGCAAACGAGAACCCCUGAUGAGCAUCAAACUAGCAACCACAUCCUUGGACUAACUCUUUAUUUUGAAACAAAUAGGAGCUCAGAAUAGCAAGUAGAAAAAAUAUAGCAAUACACUGUAAGAAGAAGAAAAAAAAUGAUACCACCAUUAAUAUAAAAAUAUUGAAUUUAAUGGCAUUAAAAAAAGUUAUUCAUAGUAAUUUAAUGGCAUUAAAAAAACUUCAAUAUUAAAAAAUAUUGAAGUUAAACUGUUAUUUUUUAAAAUAUUUUUUUUUCCUGAGUUAGUAAAAAAAUAACUCGUGAAGUUUAAGGUCAUGUUUGUUUCCCGGAAAAUAGUUUCCGGGAAAUCACUUUCCAAACUUUCAUGUGUUUGUUUGUCAUUAGGAAAGUUGGUCAACGAAAAACACUUUCCGGUCAAAGAAAAAUUUGGUUUGGUUUCCAGGAAAGUGUUUUUCCUUUUGGCUGUGUUUGUUUUCCGGAAAGUGGUUUCCGGGAAAUCAUUUUUCAAACUUUCAUGUGUUUGUUUGCAUUUAGGAAAGUUGCUCAACGGAAAACACUUUCCAGUCAAAGGAAAAUUUGGCUUGGUUUUCAGGAAAAUGUUUUCCUGAAAAAUUUGGGCGGAAAACACUUUCCGAAAGUUGUGAAAAAUUUAAAAAUGUCAUUAUUUGCUGAUUAUAUCAAAUUUGAUCUUCAAACUUUUGAUUACUAUAUAUAAUUUGUUUUGAAUAUUUAUUUUUCAAUUUCAUCUCUUAAAAUUUAAUUUUUAUAUUAAUUUUGUUUCUUAUUUUUAUAAUUGUUAUUUGCUUUUUUCUUAUCAUUAUUUUAUUGAAAUUUUUUAUCUAUCAAAUUUGAUCCUCAUUCUUUUGAUUGUUACUUAUUUUAUUUGAAAUAAUUUAUGAAAUGUUAAUUAUUAUUAUUUUAAUUUCUUCAUCUUUUUUUUUUUAAUUUUUUAGAUUUUAUCUCUAUUAUUUUGAUUAUUAUUUAUUUUAUUUGAGAUAAUUUAUGAAAUUAUAUUUUUUUUCAAUUUCAUUCCCAUUCAACUUUUUAAUUUGUAAGAUUUAUUUCUCAUUAUUUUAAUAAACUUGAGAAAAAUAAAACAUUAAUAAAUUAUUUUCCAGCUCAUUUUUCAUGACAUAACUAAACACUGAAAAAUGUUUUCUAACUUAUUUUUCAUUACACUGUCAAAUCUCAAAAUUUAUUUUUUUAGAAUUUAUUUUCUUUGCAGUUCACUUUUUUUAAAAAAUAUUUUUUAGCAAAUAAACGAAUUAUAAAAGGGUUUUAAGUAGUUUCGUUCAAAGCACUGAUAAGGCAAAUGAACCCAUUAAAUUCUACCGAGAAGAUGAUUUGAUUGCUUAAAGACAGAAGCCAAUGAGUCAGAGGUCACAGACAUACAACUAUUUGUUUUUUUUUACAAAAGUAUUUAAAAAAAAUUUAAAUAUUUUUAUAUCGUUUUAAAAUACUAAUGUUAAAAAUAAUUAUUAUAAAAUAAUAAAAUAUUAUUUUAAUAUAUUUUUAAAUAAAAAAUACUUUAAAAAACUUCAAAAAUCAUCUAAUAAAGCUGCAUGGCCAUUAUUUAGUUUGGGGGUAUAAUGAGAGGGACCAAGCCACCGUCACCCCUUGAGUAAACUUUAUUGCAAAGUUUUGUCGUCAAUACAUUGAACCCUCUCAGCUGCUAUAAUUAUUCUAGCUAGCUAGGAGCUAGCUAGUGUGUACUUUUGCUUUUCUGCCUCUCUAGGAACAAGUUUUGACUUUCGUGCCUCGGACUGCACUUGCACUGGUGUACAGUCAAAUGUUUGCUUGGGCCUCAGCACAUCUCAUUUCUAGAACACAAUAUUUGGAUUCGCAGAUUCUACAGGUUUUUUUUUUAAAAAAACAAUAUUAAAUUAAUAUUUUUUAAGUUAUUUAUUUUUUAUAGUUUUGAUAUUCUCAUGAAAAAAAUAAAAUAAUUUUUUUAAAAUAUAUAUUUUUUAAUUUAUUUUUAAUUAAAAACACUUUUAAAAAUACAUGACAACCAAUUUGAAAAAAAGCAUGAUUUUUAACUAAAUCACUAAAAAUCUUGAUCGGUUUUUGAGAAUCCAGACAGUUUCGAAGUUUAAAGUUCUGAGGUUAGUAAGUACACUCUGCAAGGUUUAACAAAAGCCAACAAAAGGCACAUUCGAAGAGUCCAAAGCCCAGACAGCAAGACAUGCUUUUGGUUCUUUCAACUUGGAUAGGAGAACACUCAAGCUUUGGAUGUUAUAUAUAGGAUUGAUUAUGGCAAUGCAGGAUUUUACGAAUAGGACUAGCUUCUUGCCAUGGAUCGACAUUCUAUCGUCGUGACAAACCACAUUCAAUAUAGAAAUUCUAUGGUCUCUAGGGCUUCCAUAUAUGUGCAUUUACGUGUUAACUGCCCCACUUUAUAGGAUUGAGGCAACUCAAAUUCAUUGGCCCCUUUCUGUUCUAUUUUUCUUCAUAUGGUGCUCCUUGACAAGAAUUCUGCACAGAGGAGGUAUAGAUGGUUCUAUGUAGAGGUUGAAGUUAAAAACUGAACAUCCAAAACAGUUGUAAUGCAAUUGUUAAAGUGGCAUGAUUGCAUUAUAUAAUUUGGGCCUUUUUCUUCAACGAUAUCCUCAAUACUUGCUGUCCAUAUUAGGGUUUGUUUUUUUUUUGCGUGUGCAUGUGAUGCCAUGACACUACCUUUAACACAAGGAUCAACAACCCACUAAAUUUAGUUUCUCUAGGUGGGCAAUUGCAUUGGGGGGGCUAUCAUUGCAUACCAUUAAGAAUUCCCAGCUGGGGGAUUGACCACGUACCUAACAGAGUAUAUGGAAUGAACUUAUCUUUCAACGUGUAACAUCAUCACAUGUGUAGAAAAGUUUAGAGGAUUGCAAUUGCAGCACCCAAGUUCACACCACCAACGAAAGUACUAGACAACAUCACAUGUGUAGAAAAGUUUAGAAGAUUGCAAUUGCAGCACCCAAGUUCACACCACCAACGAAAGUACUAGACAAAGAGAUUUUGAAUAAAUCAACGAACUUGUAGAAGUGAUGCCAGCUUUCUUUACACCACCAACGAAAGUACUAGACAAAGAGAUUUUGAAUAAAUCAACGAACUUGUAGAAGUGAUGCCAGCUUUCUUUAUGACAAGCAGCAAUUUGAGGCAUUCAGCUUUCGAAGGUUUCCUGUAAUAACAUAUAGAGAAUUCCCUGUUCCUAGGCUUUUUCUGGUCACAAAGAAAACGAUAUUGCAACAACAGUACCAACUGUAAAGAACACCGUAUCAUGAUGCAUGACAAAACUUACAGCGCUAGAAAUAUCCUUCUUAGAAACAGCAUCAUCAGGGCUCUCUGACUCUGCUUUAAGCUUUGGUGCCGGUGCAGGUGCCGGUGGUGGAGGUUUAGGGGUAAAUAUAUCCAAAGGAAGGAGCACCUUGUCAACCUGAUAAAUAGCAAGAUGGGUGUCCGUGUAUACAGUGUCGGAAAUGGUGGUGUUGGUAAGUCCUGUAGAUAUGUUCAAGGAGUUCCCACUGGCGGUAACGUUAAGCUGAAACCUAGCACCAGAUCCAGCGUGUGUUUUUAAAGGGCUACUCACGGUAUCAAAUUGGGAAGAUGAGAUGAACAUAGGGACAAUGUGAAACUGCAUCAACUCGACCUUUUCUUGAUCAGUUAAGGUGCGGAGAGUGCCUGUUUUAAGGGCUGAAAAUGCACUAUCACUUGGAGCAAAGAUGGUCAAGCCAUUGUUUGUGUUGCCAAGCUGGGAGUUUAGAUUGCUAUCCAAUUGAGUGGAUUUCAAAAGGCGGAUGAAGGUCUUGAAGUGGCCAGCCUUUUUGAGUAUUUUGAUGACAUUAGUGGGGCCGGGUGGUGCAGGAGCGGGCGCAGGUGAUUGAGCUGUGGUUGUGGUUAAAUUGAUGGAGAGAAUAAGCAGAUAUAAUGAGAUCAAGAGGUGUUGUAAUCGUUCCAUCUUUUCAAUAUUGUUUCCAAGUAGUGGUGACCUGUUUUGUUUGCAAAAUGUAAAUGCGGGAGUGCUGCUCUGCACAAGUGUUAGAUUUACAAAGAGAGGCCUUUUAUAAUGGAGAGGACCGAGGAGAAAACGAAGUUAGGUGUAACCUGCAAUGUGAUAUUAGUAACAAAAAUUAGGUGUUUGGUGCCUCACCUUUCACGAAAAAGGGAAAAAGAAAAUCAAUGGAGAGGGAUAUAACAGCUACUUGUUUGCUUAGAGUUGAAGGGAAAUAGGGUUUUGUCAAAUCUAUAAAAGAGUAUUUGUAAGCAAAUGUGAGAUUGUAAAUACCAGGGUAUCACUGUUUUCUAGAUGUCAAUAUUGGGAGGGAAGGAUGGACUAAGUUAAUUUUUCAGGUAUUAUGGUUGGUUUUCAUGGAAUUUGACCACCAACACUUUAUUUCAGAAAGUUUUGUUUCAUUAAGGAUGUAAACAGCAGCAGAAUUUAAAACAUGUGACUGAAAGUGUAAGGUUUUGACCACUAACACAGUGUAAAAUACCAAAUCGCUUUUAAAAUUUACACAUGCGCCAAAGUAAUAUAGAACAAGCGUGUUAUUGUCAUUAUAACUUUAGGGCAUCAAGCAGGAAAAAGGGAAAGAACACGUGGAAUGUGCUCUUGGUAAAUGGAAGUAGAAGACAAUAUCAAACCAACAAUAAGGAUCAGCCAUUGCCUACUACUAUCCCACCAUUUAAAUCUGCACCAUACCACACCCAUAAAAUUCAAUUUCCCACAUCAACAAGCCAAAUGAAAGCAAUCUAUUAGAAGGGUGGAGCGGUAUGAACAGUAAUAGCAACUACAAUUACUAGUGGCAUGUCAAGCGUCAACAUUAUAUUAUUCAAACCAAAUAGAUGGUUUCAUGUCAAGUUAUAUUCUAGAUGUUGCCAAUGGUAAUUUUUUGAGAGCACCAAAGGUACUGAGAGAAACAUCUGCAAACCUUUCGCUAAGCUCUAAGACAACUGUGAUGCUCACAGAGAGAGCUGCUCCAUGUUUUUAGCAUUUCUUGGCACUCCGAAACCUAUCCUUCUUUCUCUCUCAUCAUAUGGGUUUGCUCUGUAAUUAGAACUUGCCUCUUCAUUAUCAGAAUAGCCGGGCCUUUCAGUUAGGAACUGUUCCCAGAAAACAUCAUUCACUCUAACCGGAGCUGAUGCAGGUGCUUGAUUGUUAUUUGGGGUUUCCUGGGAAUUGGAUAAAGCUCUGACCUCGUUACCCAGAUUCAUGUUGUUCUGACUAACUCGGAUAUCAGAAUCUUUGUUACUCUCAUUAAACCUUGAUUCUGGAGAUUUGCCAAUUUCCUGGCCUAGUUGAGGUAUCCUAGUUAAAUAAGGAUUUUUGUUGACUUGCAAAGGAGAAGAUGCCAGACUAAGAUUUAGCUGACAGGAAAUGUGACCAUCAACUUCUUCAUUAGAAGUCAAAUUCGACUGCAGUGAAUGUAGUGCUGGGCUCCCAUUUGCUGGUAUGUCUCUUGGGACAGCUGGAUUCACUUUAAAUGCAUACGAUGCCCCUGUGUCUGAAAGUUCCAAUGUUUCAGGUGCCAGUAGUAAACCUGAUGUCCUAGUCAGUGCAUCUUUUGGAUUCCCUUCAGAUAUUUUUCUUUGUGGGCUUCCCCCAUCUUCAUUGGAGCUCUGUGUGCUGUGUGAAACCAAAUUAAUAUCUGAAACAGCUGGUGACAAUUCCAGUCUCAACUUAUCUGGGAAAUCUUGAUGGAUGACAUUCGACUCAGGUCUAGAACUACUGUGAUUUUCCACAAGACUAUUUUCUGCAAUUGGCAUUGGGUGAUCAACUUGGGGCAAUCGUCUCUUCUUGCUAUAGGCUGAAAAAUCCAUAGCUUCAAUCUUACGAGCAAGGUGUUCAACAAAAGUAGGGUUUUGAACAGCCUUCUCUAAGAACGACAGCAGCUUUUCCUGCCUCUGCUGCAUAGUAUCUAUCUUCUGUGUUAGAUCUUCCACCUGUAGCUUUGCAGAUGACCGCUGCUGUUCAAACCCUAGAAUACUUGCCUUGAGUUUAGCUUUAUCACGUGCAAGCUUUUCUAUUUCUUCCUCAUAUGCUGCUCUUUCUGGAUCCACUAAAGAACCUUGAGGUUGACUAUGACUGUGGAUUGGUUUUCUUCGGUAGAUAUUCUUAAGCAGGUGCUUUUGAUCUUUCACAAAAUCUUCGUUGGCAAAUUCCCAUCUCUCAGGAUCAAUCUUUCUAAAUCCCUGUCAACAGAAAUUAUGCCAUGCUAAGUUAAGUUGGCUUUAAAAAACAAAAUCCUCUACAUGUAGACAAUAAGCUAAUUAAACCCAAUACAGUCUCCCCUCUAAUUUAGAUAAUACCUUAGAAAAUGGGAAAUUUAUCUUACCAAAAAGCAUACACGAUUGAUGUUAUUCCAACUGAAGAGCUGUUAACAAUGUAUAUGGCAGUUUGCACACAGUCUGAUAAGUGUUUUGUGAAGCAGCAUGUGAUGAGAAACUUUUAAAUCCAAAGGUAAAAGAGAGAGUAUGAAAACAAUACAAAUUCUUCACUAUGACAAUCCAUUUCAGACCCAACUAUCAUUGCUUACAAGGACAAAGUUGCAUUCCAUCUUCGAAUAUUAAGGCUCUUCCUUCAUAGCUGACAAUUAGAACAUGCAUAACAUCUAGAAAUUUGCAAAUUUCGCUAAAAUCAAACAUCGUUAAACUUUCAAAUCCAUAGGUAAAAGAGAGCAUGAAAACAAUACGAAUUCUUUUCUAUGACAAUCCAUUUGAGACCCAACCAUCAUUGCCUACAAGAACAAAGUUGCAUUCCAUCUUUGAAUAUAAAGGCUCUUCCUUCAUUACUGACAAUUAUAAAAUGCAUAACAUGUAGAAACUUGCAAAUUUCACUAAAAUCAAACAUCGUUAAGUUAAUCCAUUACCCACCAAUAUUUCCUGCCCAUCAUUUACUUAUUUUUAUCAAAUAAUUCACAACCAUUCUUUCCAAAUACAUGUUCUGUACCAAAACCCAGCCAUAUUGGGCAUGAAUGAGCCAAUACAGCAAACUAGUAUUUUAGCAUCUGAUAAACGAGCUGAUUCCGUCGUUAUACAUUCAUUCAUUCAAUAUUAAACCAGAUCAGAGACACGCUUUGAUUAUGCCAAGGGCUCCUGCAUCUAAAAUAGAUACUCAGACUACAAGUAGUCACUAAUCUAUACUCAGAUUACAAGUAUUCACUAAUCUAUCUUCCAAUAAGGAUUAUUGAUUCUUCCAUUUCUAAAUCUUCCCAUCCCAUCAAACCAUUUCCUCAAUCCGCGGCCAGCCUCUAAACCCAAACCCUGCACUUAAAAAUGAUCAACUCCCCAACGAAAUGAUCAACCAUUUCUACACUUAAAAAGGCUCUAAAGAAAAAAAUUUCUUCACUUCCAUGAUAUCAAGAAUUUCAAUUUAGAAAAAACCCUUCGACGACUCAUUUGCCACAAAGAUUCAAACUCGUAAUAACAAAACCAAAAGGAAACAAAAUUUAGAGCACUCACAUAGGUAUUUAAUUGUCUGAUAAAGCUAGAGAAAUUAUUGUGCUUGAAAAAGGUAGGGAGCAACAAUCUGGCGAAUUCUGGAGGGUUCCAAACAACAAAGCUGUUUUUAUUCGAACUCCAAGACACGAUCUCGUCGGUCGAUGAAUCAUCCACCAUGUCAUAUGUCUUUACCAAGAACGGCGCCGGUCCUCCUCCACCACCACCACCACCUCCUGAGGUCGCUGACGAUGGUCCUGCUUCCAUUUUGAUUGUUCUGUCGAAGAAAAGACGAGUACGUGUUGAAUUUUGGGAAUGUAUUUGGAGAAAUUGGAGCGUAUGUUAUUCUUGUUGUUGUCCAGUUCGUUAGUACAUGUUUUUAAUGUGACACGUCAGUUUUUUGAGGACUUAUUUUAGCAUUUUUGUUUUGAAGAUGCUAAAUGGAAAAUUAAAAAUUAAAAAAAUAUAUUAUUUUAAUUUUUUAAUGUUUAUUUUAUAUAUUUCAAGCAUUGUACUAAACAAAAUGUUAUUUUAUUAUUUUUUUUUUAUAAAAAUACAAUUCCUAUAUUUCUUGUAAGAAUAUCAAUUUUUUUUCACUAGUUUUUUCAUUGAUUUUUUUUAAAUUUAUAUUUUUUAUUUGCUUUUUAUGAUAUCAUUCUUGUCUUAUUAUUCGUGUCAUGAUUCCAUCAAGUUCACUAGGAUUGAAUCGAGUUAUUUUCUAAUUAAAUUUUUUAAUUUUUUAAUUUAAUAUUAGAUUAAUUGUGAAUCGUUUAGAUUAUUUUUAGAGCCGCAAAGUCAACCGAUUCAUAUCAAGUUUUUAAAUAGUUAUGUAUGAAAUACAAUUAACUCUUCUAAAAUGCUUCUUGUCAUUUGAGUGCACAUAAAUAAAUAAAAAUAUUUAUAUUAUUUAAUAAACUAUAUUAUCA